CAUGUUGUCCCCAUGUUGUACCCAUGUUGUCCCCAUGUUGUACCCAUGUUGUACCCAUGUUGUACCCAUGUUGUACCCUGCAUUCUGGCCUGGCAAAAGUCUUUUACAAGGCAUCUUUGCUACCGUAAAUAAUUAAAAUGUUUUUUAAUAACUACUCUUUUACAAAAACAUGACUAAUUCUAUUGCACAAAUGUCCUGUCUUUAUGUUAAAUUCUUUAUAAUACAUCUUACUUGUUCAAAGAGCUGUCUUGAAAAUUUUUGAGAGGGUCCUUUUCCUAGGCCUGCAAAUAAAGUGAUACAUGCUAUGUGGGCAGCCUUAACAAACAAUGCUCUGAUGUGUUGAGCAUGCAGGAUACCAAGAGGUUAACAAGGUGCUCUCCUGCUGCUCCUUAUGACAGCUGAGUUUACAUCACCUCACAAAAUCACACGCACAAACACAACACAUUAUUUCAAGAUUUAAAGUUUAAGAGAGUGAGAACUUAAUUGAACCACAUGUCAUUAACAGGGCUCUUAAGUUUUGAAGACAGGCAAGAGUGACAUAUCUAUCCAGGAUGCUUUAUUUUCAUUGGUUGCUGGAUUAAAUCUUACCCAGAUACAACAGCGACGUUUUUUUCUGAUUGGCUAUUGUGUAGCAAAUUUCUUUUUUUUGAUUGGCUGAUAAGUGGCACCUCAGCAGAACUCCAGGGGAGCGCUUGAUUCCUCCACGGUGAGGGCAGCGCGGCUCAUGUUGGCGGCACAUUAAAACAUUAAAUAGCCGACAGUUUUUUCAGCGUGAGAAAUACGAUGUGUGGCGGGAGUGCGUGACUUAAGACCGAAAUGCGUGACUGUCCCGCUCAAUGCGUGACACUUGAGAGCCCUGCACUAACACACCGUAGUCUCUGCUCGUUGUGUCUGUUUGAAAAUCUUCUUCUGUUGCUAACUUCGGGACUCUUUGGGGUAAAUAGGAUGUCUAUGCAGCGAAUAGGUUUAUAGAUGCGCUCCUUAGCGCCAUCUAUCGUCGCGGAGUUUGAAAAGAAACCAACGCGCCUCGGCCCAAAAUCAGAAUUUCUUUUGCCGUGAGAUAUUGGUUGUGUGGCGUGAGAGCGUGAAAACAUGCAAAAGCGUGUGUCACACAGCGAAACCGUGAGAGUUGGUAGCUCUGGAAUGGUCAUUUCUAAAGAAGAGCGGCAUAAAAUAAAGCAAAACAAUGCCGCGCAUGGACCCCAACAUGGCCGCCAAAGGUUGUUGUGGUCACGUGAGUGAAUACGCUCAAUAAGGCGACAUGAUCCCGUUAAACGACGCAGUAUGACGUCAUGGAGAGCCGCGCGCAGCUCCUCAGCCUCAAUCUGAUUCGUCAUUUCUUUUGGCGCCAUUUCAUGAUCAGUUGGAACGUGUGUGUCUCGCGAGGGGACCACUGCGCGCGUGCACGAGCUCGUAUCUCGAUACUUUAGUUAGUUUACAGCAGCGCGACGCGGAGUGCAGCGACACGAUGAUGGGACAAAAAAACAUCAACUCGUUUUUUUCGCCAGUGUCGAAGAAGAGACUUUCUAAGGAAGCCAAGGAGGACGCCGAGCACCCGAAGAAGCUGAAGGCCUCGGCGGGGGAGCCGGCGCCUCCUCCCCCGGGGCAGCGGGACGAGGAGGAGCCGGCGCCUCCUCCCCCGGGGCAGCGGGACGAGGAGGAGCCGGCGCCUCCUCCCCCGGGGCAGCGGGACGAGGAGGCCGCGCUGGAGCUUCCGGGCUUCGGGGGAAGCUGGAGAGACGCACUGGCGGCGGAGUUUGGGAAGCCGUACUUCAAACGCCUGAUGACCUUCGUCUCUGAGGAGCGGAGCCGCGGCUCGGUGUUCCCUCCGGCCGAGGACGUCUUCACCUGGACGCAGUGUGACGUCAGACAGGUGAAGGUGGUGAUUCUGGGCCAGGACCCGUACCACGGGCCUCACCAGGCUCAUGGGCUGUGCUUCAGCGUCAGGAGGCCGGAGCGUCCUCCGCCCAGUUUGGGGAACGUGUUCAAAGAGCUGGCGUCUGACAUCGAAGGCUUUCAGCACCCGGGUCACGGGGACCUGACGGCGUGGGCCGCUCAAGGUGUGCUGUUGCUCAACGCCGUGUUGACGGUCCGAGCGCACCGGGCCAACUCCCACAAGGACCGCGGCUGGGAGACCUUCACGGACGCCGUGGUGAGGUGGCUCAGCGCCAACCUGCACGGCCUGGUGUUCCUGCUGUGGGGAGCGUACGCGCAGAAGAAGGGCGCCGCCAUCGACAGGAAGCGGCACCACGUGCUGCAGGCGGUGCAUCCCUCGCCCUUGUCUUGUCAUCGAGGAUUCUUUGGAUGCAAGCAUUUCUCAAAGGCCAACGAGCUGCUGAAGACAUCCGGGAAGUCUCCCGUGAACUGGAAGGAACUUUAAGAUGUUCUUCAUAUUUCCUUGCAUGCGUGUUGUCAACUUCAAAGUGAAACAUCAGCGUUCACAGCCGACUGCACAGAGGUCUCUGACGGCCUUCACCUGGGCGGCUGAGUUGUCACGGCCUUUUCUAAAACGGAGUGUCAGCCUUCCUCAGGUGUCAUAGAGCUGCUGUCCGUCUCCCCUGCCGCUUCUUUACUGGAACAAAGAGAAUUGUGUGUACGGCAUUUCAAUCAGGUAAGACCCGUUAAAUGAAGAAAGGAUGUUUAUUGUUAACAUGUGAUGUGCAACGAUGAAGUCUCAGAGCCUUUGGCGCUUGGACUCUAUGGGGAGAUUUGAGGUUGAGGGCUGACUGCCCUGAUCAGCAACGAGGUGGACCCCCCCCCCCCCCCCCAUGGAGUCCAGACCUGGUGGUGCUGACGAGCUCAAGCUGAUGGAUCCUUGAAGACUGGCUGGAGAUGGGGUGGUGGAGGGGGGGGGGUGCAUGACAGCAACCUGAAUGAACUGAAGGAGCCACGUCAUCAGUUCCCCUUAUUGGAUCAGUGGACCAGCUGAUCUUUGCAGCUGGAGUCACGGAGCGAUGACGGCGAGUAAGUAAUG
This is an RNA transcript of Pseudoliparis swirei, 2974 nucleotides long. It is a transcript of the gene named uracil DNA glycosylase a, with no coding region annotated. The transcript is spliced from 8 exons. NCBI's taxonomy places the organism in Eukaryota, Metazoa, Chordata, Actinopteri, Perciformes, Liparidae. The record is from RefSeq and is a predicted model, not a curated record.